This 535-nucleotide long non-coding RNA is filed under the name Salvia miltiorrhiza (redroot sage). RNAcentral's name for it is "long non-coding RNA (SMIL_LNC013129)". The record is from RNAcentral. Lineage: Eukaryota; Viridiplantae; Streptophyta; Magnoliopsida; Lamiales; Lamiaceae.
GAUAAGACCGGAUCGUGUCCAAAUAUACUCGGUUAAAUCAUCUUGGAGGCGGGUGGGCAUUUGGCGGUCGCAGAGGCAUGCGUCUCGAGCUAGAUAAAUGCAAAAUUUCGUUGGAGCUCCGGUAUUGGUCCGAGGUUGAGAACCGUUGCUUGAUCCCUUAACAUUACCCUCUAUCUCCCAAUCUGUCGCAUGCUCUUCUUCAUCCUCGAUUAUCAUGUUGUGCAAAAUAAUGCACGCAAAUAUGAGAAUGCCAGUUGCUCCUUCUUUAAUAAACGAGUCGGACCUCUGCUAACAGCCCAAUGAACUUGAAGAACACCAAAAGCUUAUUCUAUAUUCUUCCGUGCAGCACUUUGAACCCCCUCUUCUGGUCGUCAUUAGGAAAUAGAGGACUCUUGACAAAGAUUGGCCACUUUGGGUAGAUUCCAUCUGUAAAAUAGUGGCCCAUAAUAUAGUGGGCACUAUUGGCCUCGAAGUUACCGCCAGAGCAUUUCCCGAAAGAACGUCGUUGAACAACGUCGAUUAGUUGAGCACAUUG